UAGGGAAUCUUCCGCAAUGGGCGAAAGCCUGAAGGAGCAACGCCGCGUGAGUGAUGAAGGUCUUCGGAUCGUAAAACUCUGUUAUUAGGGAAGAAUAAAUGUGUAAGUAACUAUGCACGUCUUGACGGUACCUAAUCAGAAAGCCACGGCUAACUACGUGCCAGCAGCCGCGGUAAUACGUAGGUGGCAAGCGUUAUCCGGAAUUAUUGGGCGUAAAGCGCGCGUAGGCGGUUUUUUAAGUCUGAUGUGAAAGCCCACGGCUCAACCGUGGAGGGUCAUUGGAAACUUGAAAACUUGAGUGCAGAAGAGGAAAGUGGAAUUCCAUGUGUAGCGGUGAAAUGCGCAGAGAUAUGGAGGAACACCAGUGGCGAAGGCGACUUUCUGGGCUGUAACUGACGCGGAUGUGCGAAAGCGUGGGGAUCAAACAGG
Molecule: ribosomal RNA, 429 nt
Filed under: Bacteroidota bacterium
Lineage: Bacteria; Pseudomonadati; Bacteroidota
Description: Bacteroidetes bacterium partial 16S ribosomal RNA
Rfam family: Bacterial small subunit ribosomal RNA
Source: RNAcentral